Molecule: ribosomal RNA, 1958 nt
Filed under: Lepocinclis gracillicauda
Lineage: Eukaryota; Euglenozoa; Euglenophyceae; Euglenales; Phacaceae
Description: SSU rRNA
Rfam family: Eukaryotic small subunit ribosomal RNA
Source: RNAcentral
UUACACCAGCAGUCAUCUCUGUGAUAGAGUGUGGAUGGCCCCACCUGCCCAUGGAGGUCCGCUUGGAUACCCUCCAAAACCUAGUGGCUAAUACACGGUCGAGACAGUCUGCUACGACACGGCCUCCUGGGGUUCUGCCCUGGGUGGCCAGGCAGUGGAUUACACUCAGCUGUACUGUAAGACCCACCCCAGGAAUGGGAGUGCCUCUUGGUUGACUCAGGCUGAUCCUUGCACAGGACAACCGUGCUGGCAGAGUGGUGGUUCAUCCCACAGCAUUGCUUGAUCACACCGAGCUUCUGACUUAUCAGCUUGGAAGGUGCUUCAGAGGGUCACCUUGGCAGUAACGAGUGACGGAGAAUCAGGGUUCGAUUCCGGAGAGGGAGCCUGAGAGACGGCUACCACUGCUAAGGCGGGCAGCAGGCACGCAAAUUGCCCCAUGCCGAUGCACUUGUGAGGCAGCGACGAACUGCAGCAAUUCCACCUGUCCUCAGUGAUGGGUGGAACUUGUAAUGGAUGCAAUCCAAACACAGUGAUGAGUAUCAACUGGAGGGCAAGUCUGGUGCCAGCAGCUGCGGUAAUUCCAGCUCCAAGGGCGUAUACUAACAUUGCUGUUGUUAAAACACUUGUAGUCUGAUGCUGGGUCACAGGUCUGCUGGGUGGCAGCCUCGGGUCUCACAGCAUGUGUCCUCGGGCGUGUGGCUGGUGAUCCUGGCUGAUACAACCUCCAGCAGUAUGUCCCUGUGCCCAAGUUCAUGGCGGUGCGAAUGGCUCCUGCUCGAAGUCUCCUUCAGUGGGGAUUGAUGCGGUUGUAUACCCAGCGCUUGUGUGUUGACGCUCGAGGGGUCAGGCCCUGUGCCUGGCAUUGCCCUCAGUCCACCAUCGGAGUUCACUGCCUUUGAAACCGUGGAAAACUCAGUGUGCCCAAAGCAUCCAUCUCGGCUGGAUGUCAGUCCAUGGAAUCUCAGAGCAUUGACUGGAUAUGGCCAUGAAGUUGUGUGGGUCUUGGAGCCUAUCCCAGGGAACAUGGCACAGUUCACAGCGAGGCAGAGGCACUGCCACCUCGGUGGUGUGUCCCACCUGUGUCACUGGCGGACUGUGUCGAUCAUGCACGAUGGGACUUCUCGGGGUGAAAGAUACUGCAACGCCAGAGGUGAAAUUCUUAGACCGUUGCAAGAUCAACUGCAGCGAAGGCGUUCUGCAAGUGCAAGUUNGUCGAUCAAGAAUGUGAGUGUGGGGAGCGAAGAUGAUCAGACACCGUCGUAGUCCACAACUGUAAACCAUGCCAGCUCGGUGUUGUUGCGGCAAGUACACGGACUGCAUCAGCACCACACCCCCUACAACGAGAAAUCCAAGCCCAUGGGUUCAAGGGGGAGUACUGUCGCAAGGCUGAAACUUAAANGAAUUGACGGAAUGGCACCACAAGGCGUGGAGUAUGCGGCUUAAUUUGACUCAACACGGGGAAUGUUACCAGGUCAGGACGUUGCUGGGAUGGACAGAUUGAGAGCUCUUUCUUGAUUCUUCGGAUGGUGGUGCAUGGCCGCUCCUGAUUGGUGGAGUGAUUUGUCUGGUUGAUUCCGAUAACGAGUGAGACAUCUGCCUCCCAAUAGCCUCAGCCUCGCAAUUGUAGGGUGGCCUCUGUGGGUCGCUGCCUGGUUCGCCUUGCAGUCCCUAAGUGGCUCACCCGAGAGGCCUGAGAUCAGCUUCUCUGAGGUGCUGUACACGCUGCCAAGUGUAUGCAUGCUAGAGCCAACAGCAGGUCUGUGAUGCUCCCAGAUGUCCUGGGCCGCACGCGCACUACAUUGGCCCGAUGACUAUGUGAUCUCGCUCUGUGAGUCCUGCCUGGAAGUGGGUGGGAAACCCUUGGAGCCUGUCCUGGCCGUACUGGGGAUAGAUGAUUGCAACUGUCUGCCUUCAACGAGGAAUGCCUAGUAAGCGUGGGUCAUCAGCCCGCACUGAUU